UACGUAGGGCGCAAGCGUUGUCCGGAAUUAUUGGGCGUAAAGAGCUCGUAGGCGGCCUGUUACGUCUGCUGUGAAAUCCCGGGGCUUAACCCCGGGCGUGCAGUGGAUACGGGCAGGCUGGAGGCAGGCAGGGGAGAACGGAAUUCCCGGUGUAGCGGUGAAAUGCGCAGAUAUCGGGAGGAACACCGGUGGCGAAGGCGGUUCUCUGGGCCGUUACUGACGCUGAGGAGCGAAAGCGUGGGGAGCGAACAGG
This 253-nucleotide ribosomal RNA is filed under the name uncultured bacterium. RNAcentral describes it as "partial 16S ribosomal RNA". It matches the Rfam family "Bacterial small subunit ribosomal RNA", at positions 524 to 776 of the family's 1533-position model. The record is from RNAcentral.